GAGUGAAUGUGAAAGGUCUUAAUUGGUGUGAAGUGAUCCCAGCUGUGUGUUUGUGUUAGAAAGCCAGCAGAGGCCUUUGGGCUCACAGCUUCUUUCUUUGUUGAGCUCGGGUUGUGUUGCAUAAUGCGGCUCCUGAUCUUCGUCUGUGUGGUGACAGUUGUUGGUGGUGUUCCCAUCCAACCAACCCCGAAGGCCAGCAGUGUUGCUGCAGUUGGUGUCAUCCCUUCAUCUAAAACCCAGAAUGUGAUUAGUGGUAGUC
Etheostoma cragini (Arkansas darter) is the source of this 259-nucleotide long non-coding RNA. RefSeq lists it as uncharacterized. The record is from RefSeq and is a predicted model, not a curated record. Lineage: Eukaryota; Metazoa; Chordata; Actinopteri; Perciformes; Percidae. The transcript is spliced from 3 exons.